AUUGAACGCUCGCGGCAGGCCUAACACAUGCAAGUCGAGCGGUAGAGAGAAGCUUGCUUCUCUUGAGAGCGGCGGACGGGUGAGUAAUGCCUAGGAAUCUGCCUGGUAGUGGGGGAUAACGUUCGGAAACGAACGCUAAUACCGCAUACGUCCUACGGGAGAAAGCAGGGGACCUUCGGGCCUUGCGCUAUCAGAUGAGCCUAGGUCGGAUUAGCUAGUUGGUGAGGUAAUGGCUCACCAAGGCGACGAUCCGUAACUGGUCUGAGAGGAUGAUCAGUCACACUGGAACUGAGACACGGUCCAGACUCCUACGGGAGGCAGCAGUGGGGAAUAUUGGACAAUGGGCGAAAGCCUGAUCCAGCCAUGCCGCGUGUGUGAAGAAGGUCUUCGGAUUGGUAAA
RNAcentral lists this ribosomal RNA (400 nucleotides) under Pseudomonas sp. C. Its description in RNAcentral is "bacterial SSU rRNA". It matches the Rfam family "Bacterial small subunit ribosomal RNA", at positions 30 to 430 of the family's 1533-position model. The record is from RNAcentral. Lineage: Bacteria; Pseudomonadati; Pseudomonadota; Gammaproteobacteria; Pseudomonadales; Pseudomonadaceae.